AUUCCUACGGGAGGCAGCAGUGGGGAAUAUUGGACAAUGGGCGAAAGCCUGAUCCAGCCAUGCCGCGUGUGUGAAGAAGGUCUUCGGAUUGUAAAGCACUUUAAGUUGGGAGGAAGGGCAUUAACCUAAUACGUUAGUGCUUUGACGUUACCGACAGAAUAAGCACCGGCUAACUCUGUGCCAGCAGCCGCGGUAAUAAU
RNAcentral lists this ribosomal RNA (200 nucleotides) under uncultured Pseudomonas sp. Its description in RNAcentral is "partial 16S ribosomal RNA". It matches the Rfam family "Bacterial small subunit ribosomal RNA", at positions 335 to 527 of the family's 1533-position model. The record is from RNAcentral. Lineage: Bacteria; Pseudomonadati; Pseudomonadota; Gammaproteobacteria; Pseudomonadales; Pseudomonadaceae.